This 417-nucleotide ribosomal RNA is filed under the name uncultured bacterium. Its description in RNAcentral is "bacterial SSU rRNA". It matches the Rfam family "Bacterial small subunit ribosomal RNA", at positions 506 to 921 of the family's 1533-position model. The record is from RNAcentral.
GGCCAGCAGCCGCGGUAAUACGUAGGGUGCGAGCGUUAAUCGGAAUUACUGGGCGUAAAGCGUGCGCAGGCGGUUUUGUAAGACAGAUGUGAAAUCCCCGGGCUUAACCUGGGAACUGCAUUUGUGACUGCAAGGCUAGAGUACGGCAGAGGGGGGUAGAAUUCCACGUGUAGCAGUGAAAUGCGUAGAUAUGUGGAGGAAUACCGAUGGCGAAGGCAGCCCCCUGGGUCGAUACUGACGCUCAUGCACGAAAGCGUGGGGAGCAAACAGGAUUAGAUACCCUGGUAGUCCACGCCCUAAACGAUGUCAACUAGGUGUUGGGGGAGGAGACUUCCUUAGUACCGCAGCUAACGCGUGAAGUUGACCGCCUGGGGAGUACGGUCGCAAGAUUAAAACUUAAAGGAAUUGGCGGGGGAC